RNAcentral lists this non-coding RNA (241 nucleotides) under Burkholderia sp. Lineage: Bacteria; Pseudomonadati; Pseudomonadota; Betaproteobacteria; Burkholderiales; Burkholderiaceae. The record is from RNAcentral.
UAUCGUAUGCGCGCGUUUGGUGCCCGCACAUGCGUUCGCGUGUGCAGUUAAACGGGAAACAGGCAGCGCGCUUGCGCUUAACCUGUGCUGUCCCCGCAACGGUAAGCGACCUGCGGCGCGAAUUUCAUUGCGCCGCGCAUGCGUUUCAAAGCCACUGUCCGAUCCAUUCGAACGAAUGCGGGCGGGAAGGCAAACGCGUGAGGCCGCCAGCCCGGAUACCGGCCAGACGUGGAGGCGGCCU